AGUGAACGCUGGCGGUAGGCCUAACACAUGCAAGUCGAACGGCAGCACAGUAAGAGCUUGCUCUUACGGGUGGCGAGUGGCGGACGGGUGAGGAAUACAUCGGAAUCUACUUUUUCGUGGGGGAUAACGUAGGGAAACUUACGCUAAUACCGCAUACGACCUACGGGUGAAAUCAGGAGAUCUUCGGACCUUGCGCGAUUGAAUGAGCCGAUGUCGGAUUAGCUAGUUGGCGAGGUAAAGGCCCACCAAGGCGACGAUCCGUAGCUGGUCUGAGAGGAUGAUCAGCCACACUGGAACUGAGACACGGUCCAGACUCCUACGGGAGGCAGCAGUGGGGAAUAUUGGACAAUGGGCGCAAGCCUGAUCCAGCCAUACCGCGUGAGUGAAGAAGGCCUUCGGGUUGUAAAGCUCUUUUGUUGGGAAAGAAAAGCAGCAGGUUAAUACGCCGCUGUUCUGACGGUACCCAAAGAAUAAGCACCGGCUAACUUCGUG
Molecule: ribosomal RNA, 492 nt
Filed under: uncultured bacterium
Lineage: Bacteria
Description: partial 16S ribosomal RNA
Rfam family: Bacterial small subunit ribosomal RNA
Source: RNAcentral